UACGUAGGGUGCAAGCGUUAAUCGGAAUUACUGGGCGUAAAGCGUGCGCAGGCGGUUAUGUAAGACAGAUGUGAAAUCCCCGGGCUUAACCUGGGAACUGCAUUUGUGACUGCAUGGCUGGAGUGCGGCAGAGGGGGAUGGAAUUCCGCGUGUAGCAGUGAAAUGCGUAGAUAUGCGGAGGGACACCGAUGGCGAAGGCAAUCCCCUGGGCCUGCACUGACGCUCAUGCACGAAAGCGUGGGGAGCAAACAGG
RNAcentral lists this ribosomal RNA (253 nucleotides) under uncultured bacterium. Its description in RNAcentral is "partial 16S ribosomal RNA". It matches the Rfam family "Bacterial small subunit ribosomal RNA", at positions 524 to 776 of the family's 1533-position model. The record is from RNAcentral.